This is a non-coding RNA of Pelobates cultripes (western spadefoot toad), 203 nucleotides long. The record is from the annotation of a GenBank genome assembly. Lineage: Eukaryota; Metazoa; Chordata; Amphibia; Anura; Pelobatidae.
AUUCCGUUCAUGUUGUGGAGGCUUCUUCUACUUUUUUGUCAGGCACUCUGCUUGCGGAUAUUUUACAUUCAACGUACUCGUCUAGCAAUGAUACUUUGGGAUCUUUAAUUUCCGUCCAUCUUUCCCUUCUCUUUCCCCUUCUUCUCUUUUCUACACUGACUUGUUGACAUGUGCUUCUAUUUUUUUCUUCGUGUUUGGAGAUG